AUGAGAGGACAGGUCGACUACAGCAAAAUUAUGAACGGCAAUCUGUCUGCUGAAAUAGAAAGGUUCAGUGCCAUGUUUCAAGAGAAGAAGCAGGAAGUACAGACUGCCAUCUUAAGAGUUGAUCAGCUUAGUCAGCAGCUAGAAGAUCUGAAGAAAGGAAAGCUGAACGGAUUCCAGUCUUACAAUGGCAAGUUGACAGGACCAGCUGCAGUGGAGCUAAAACGGCUGUACCAAGAACUGCAGGUAAUGUGCCUGAUCUGCAGAGUGGUCAUAUACAGAUGUUCCUCCCUUCUGGCUUUCUCCUUGGUCCUAAUAGGAUGAAUAUUCAGACUCUGGAAACAAAUGAACAGAUUCUAAUUUAAUAGUGGCUCUGACCU
Molecule: long non-coding RNA, 377 nt
Filed under: Nannospalax galili (Upper Galilee mountains blind mole rat)
Lineage: Eukaryota; Metazoa; Chordata; Mammalia; Rodentia; Spalacidae
Description: lncRNA (ENSNGAG00000024579.1)
Source: RNAcentral